GCGCCUCGGCGCACGCCUCCAGCGCAGAGAGAGAGUUGUAGCAGUCGCCGCCACCGCUGCCAACACCGCCGCUACCGCCUCCUCGGUCCCAGACAUGCCGAAGCACGAGUUCUCUGUGGAUAUGACCUGUGAAGGUUGUGCAGAAGCUGUCUCUCGGGUCCUCAACAAGCUGGGAGGGGGCUGAUCCUCUCCUGGCUUCCAGAUCCACCUGGGACUUGGCAGUCCUGUUCAGUCAUGGCGUUUCUGCAAAGACCCUCACCUGCCCUGCUCUUUCCUAGUUUCCCUGCAAUAAAGUCAAGCUACUUUUGUUG
Molecule: long non-coding RNA, 311 nt
Organism: Nycticebus coucang (slow loris)
Lineage: Eukaryota; Metazoa; Chordata; Mammalia; Primates; Lorisidae
Exons: 3
Source: RefSeq, a predicted model, not a curated record